This 418-nucleotide ribosomal RNA is filed under the name bacterium enrichment culture clone ALO1_GLFRUDD03GRKLI. Its description in RNAcentral is "bacterial SSU rRNA". It matches the Rfam family "Bacterial small subunit ribosomal RNA", at positions 9 to 429 of the family's 1533-position model. The record is from RNAcentral.
GAGUUUGAUCUUGGCUCAGAUUGAACGCUGGCGGCAUGCCUUACACAUGCAAGUCGAACGGCAGCACGGGAGCUUGCUCCUGGUGGCGAGUGGCGAACGGGUGAGUAAUGCAUCGGAACGUAUCCUGGAGUGGGGGAUAACGUAGCGAAAGUUACGCUAAUACCGCAUAUUCUGUGAGCAGGAAAGCGGGGGACCUUCGGGCCUCGCGCUCUUGGAGCGGCCGAUGUCGGAUUAGCUAGUUGGUGAGGUAAAGGCUCACCAAGGCGACGAUCCGUAGCAGGUCUGAGAGGAUGAUCUGCCACACUGGAACUGAGACACGGUCCAGACUCCUACGGGAGGCAGCAGGUGGGAAUUUUGGACAAUGGGGGCAACCCUGAUCCAGCCAUGCCGCGUGAGUGAAGAAGGCCUCGGUUGUAAG